This 1343-nucleotide ribosomal RNA is filed under the name uncultured bacterium. RNAcentral describes it as "16S ribosomal RNA". It matches the Rfam family "Bacterial small subunit ribosomal RNA", at positions 28 to 1378 of the family's 1533-position model. The record is from RNAcentral.
GACGAACGCUGGCGGCGUGCUUAACACAUGCAAGUCGAACGGAAAGGCCCUGCUUUUGUGGGGUGCUCGAGUGGCGAACGGGUGAGUAACACGUGAGUAACCUGCCCUUGACUUUGGGAUAACUUCAGGAAACUGGGGCUAAUACCGGAUAGGAGCUCCUGCUGCAUGGUGGGGGUUGGAAAGUUUCGGCGGUUGGGGAUGGACUCGCGGCUUAUCAGCUUGUUGGUGGGGUAGUGGCUUACCAAGGCUUUGACGGGUAGCCGGCCUGAGAGGGUGACCGGCCACAUUGGGACUGAGAUACGGCCCAGACUCCUACGGGAGGCAGCAGUGGGGAAUAUUGCACAAUGGGCGGAAGCCUGAUGCAGCAACGCCGCGUGCGGGAUGACGGCCUUCGGGUUGUAAACCGCUUUCGCCUGUGACGAAGCGUGAGUGACGGUAAUGGGUAAAGAAGCACCGGCUAACUACGUGCCAGCAGCCGCGGUGAUACGUAGGGUGCGAGCGUUGUCCGGAUUUAUUGGGCGUAAAGGGCUCGUAGGUGGUUGAUCGCGUCGGAAGUGUAAUCUUGGGGCUUAACCCUGAGCGUGCUUUCGAUACGGGUUGACUUGAGGAAGGUAGGGGAGAAUGGAAUUCCUGGUGGAGCGGUGGAAUGCGCAGAUAUCAGGAGGAACACCAGUGGCGAAGGCGGUUCUCUGGGCCUUUCCUGACGCUGAGGAGCGAAAGCGUGGGGAGCGAACAGGCUUAGAUACCCUGGUAGUCCACGCUGUAAACGGUGGGUACUAGGUGUGGGGUCCAUUCCACGGGUUCCGUGCCGUAGCUAACGCUUUAAGUACCCCGCCUGGGGAGUACGGCCGCAAGGCUAAAACUCAAAGGAAUUGACGGGGCCCCGCACAAGCGGCGGAGCAUGCGGAUUAAUUCGAUGCAACGCGUAGAACCUUACCUGGGUUUGACAUGGAUCGGGAGUGCUCAGAGAUGGGUGUGCCUCUUUUGGGGUCGGUUCACAGGUGGUGCAUGGCUGUCAUCAGCUCGUGUCGUGAGAUGUUGGGUUAAGUCCCGCAACGAGCGCAACCCUUGUUCACUGUUGCCAGCACGUUAUGGUGGGGACUCAGUGGAGACCGCCGGGGUCAACUCGGAGGAAGGUGGGGAUGACGUCAAGUCAUCAUGCCCCUUAUGUCCAGGGCUUCACGCAUGCUACAAUGGCUGGUACAGAGAGUGGCGAGCCUGUGAGGGUGAGCGAAUCUCGGAAAGCCGGUCUCAGUUCGGAUUGGGGUCUGCAACUCGACCUCAUGAAGUCGGAGUCGAUAGUAAUCGCAGAUCAGCAACGCUGCGGUGAAUACGUUCCCGGG